RNAcentral lists this long non-coding RNA (722 nucleotides) under Pan troglodytes (chimpanzee). RNAcentral describes it as "lincRNA". The record is from RNAcentral. Lineage: Eukaryota; Metazoa; Chordata; Mammalia; Primates; Hominidae.
UGAGUACUGGGUCCACUGGAGAGGGAAGAGCCGCGGCCGCGAGGAUUCCCAGCAGCGGCCGCGUGUUGAGAGCCUAGAAGUGGCCCCGAAGCCGUGCCUUUCCCGAUAGCCAAGCAGAAGUAGGACUUGAAGCACCGAGGCUGGGAUGCCCAUGCUGGUGACGCCUUGGGGCUCGCAGUUAUACUUGGUGACCGGUCUACACGGCGAUUCGGUGCUUUCCCGAGUAGCAGAUUCAUCUAUCUUUAGACCCACCUUCGUCCUUCCGCGGUUUAGCACCGCCUGCGCUUUCCUGCGAGCCCUGCUGUCACCCGAACAGCCUGAUGACUUCACGCUCAACCACUGGAGGGCACAACCACAUCAUUUUUAAAAAACAGAUUCCUCCACUUAAAGGACAUGGUUUUGGGGGAAAGAACAUUUUAAAAAUGUAAAAAGAUAUAUAUCUAUAUCUAUAUAUCUAUCUCAGAUUGUUCUGUUAUAAACUCAGGUGGGAUUCUUCAAAACAGGAGGUUGUUCCAGUCUCUUCAUUUUGCAGCUGAGAAAACGAAGGCCUUGGAGCUUGAGAACUCCAGUUGCCCAAGGCGCACAGGUGGUGGUGAAAGCAUAUUGACUUUCCUGACUUCUUAUGACCACAUUUGAGGAAAGGAGUAAGCACUGGAAUCACCAACACAGCAUGCUUACGGAGGGUGGUCGCCAGCUUCAUCAGCCUCCCAAUUCCACGGAGC